AACCGAGAGAGGUGAGUCAUUUCCCCUAAAACCAAUAUGUGAUGAAGAAUAUAUACUUAAGUCUUUUAUGAGAUGCAAAACUGUAUUUAGAGUGAUCGUUGUUGCGAUCCCUCAAACAAAAAAUAUAUAUAUAUAUAUAUAUAUAUUGUCACACGGGGAUGAACCGUAUUACCAUUUUGUCCUUGGAAGCCUUUAUAUAAGGCUACUCCGUCUAUUCUCACCAUGCAAGCUUUCACUUGAGCCCUCAGAAGAAUAUUACUAUCCUUCUAGAAUAUAAACUGCUGCCUCAAUGGAGUCCAGUAUCCUUCCAGUUUUAGUCUUCUUUUGUCUUGCACUGGUAGGAAGCCAUGCUUCUCUACCUUCUAAGGUCUACUGGCAGUAAGUUUUGCCAAACACUCCCAUGCCGAAAGCUGUUUAGGAUUCUUUGAGCUCUGAUGAUACGAAGUUCUUCAACCCUCCUAAUCUUGGCUUGAGCAAUGAAAAACUUGAGGGCAUGGAAAAUGUUGACACCACUUUUUUCAUUGAAACCGAUUUGCGUCCGGGAAAAAAAAUGAAGUUGCACUUCACCAAUACUGCAAAUGGGGCAACUUUCUUACCUCGUCAAGUGGCAAAGUCCAUUCCUCUUUAAAGUGACAAGUUACCGGAAAUUCUAAAUCGCUUUUCUGUAAAAGAAAAUUCUGUAGAAGCAAAGGUAAUAAAAAGCACAAUUAAGAUGUGUGAGACACCAGGCACUGCUGGAGAAGAUGGUGUAUGUGCAACAUCCUUAGAAUCAUUAGUAGAUUUUAGCGUUUCGAAGUUGGGAAAAAUGUUCAAGUACUUUCAACCCAGGUGCUAAAAGAAACUAAGAAGCAAGAGUAUCGCAUAACAGGAGUGCAUAGGAUUAAUGCAAACAAAGGGGUUGUGUGUCACAAGCAAAACUAUGCGUGUGCUGUUUUCUAUUGCCAUGAAAUCCAUGACCCAGGGACUUACAUGGUUCCAUUGGUGUCCUCUGAUGGGACAAGAGUAAAUGCAAUAGCUGCUUGCCACACUGAUGCAUCAGUUGCAAACGCUUUUAAGGUGCUCAAAGUUAAGCCAGGAACUGUCCCUAUAUGCCACUUUCUUGCUAGUGAUACCCUUCUCUGGGUUCCUAAUUCGAUGUAUAAAGAAAGGCUCUAGACCAAGCUUCUUGUAUUUCUAGUGUGUGUUAUAUAAUGCCUGCAUGCAGGAGGGAAAAUAACUAAAUAAGGGGAAAUUAUGCUAUAAUAGUAAAACCUCCCUGCUACUAUGCAUGUUUGUAAUUAUAUGCUUCUUUCAGUUUUAAUUGCAUUUAAAUCUUGGCAUUGUCAAA
Molecule: RNA transcript, 1327 nt
Organism: Quercus lobata
Lineage: Eukaryota; Viridiplantae; Streptophyta; Magnoliopsida; Fagales; Fagaceae
Gene name: BURP domain-containing protein 6-like
Exons: 3
Source: RefSeq, a predicted model, not a curated record